This 305-nucleotide ribosomal RNA is filed under the name uncultured bacterium. RNAcentral's name for it is "bacterial SSU rRNA". It matches the Rfam family "Bacterial small subunit ribosomal RNA", at positions 334 to 655 of the family's 1533-position model. The record is from RNAcentral.
UGGCCCUACGGGGGGCAGCAGUGGGGAAUAUUGCACAAUGGGGGAAACCCUGAUGCAGCAACGCCGCGUGAGUGAAGAAGGUUUUCGGAUUGUAAAGCUCUGUUAGCAGGGAAGAGGAAGGACGGUACCUGCAGAGGAAGCCACGGCUAACUACGUGCCAGCAGCCGCGGUAAUACGUAGGGGGCAAGCGUUAUCCGGAUUUACUGGGUGUAAAGGGAGCGUAGACGGAAUUGCAAGUCUGAUGUGAAAAUCCGGGGCCCAACCCCGGAACUGCAUUGGAAACUGUAUUUCUAGAGUGUCGGAGG